RNAcentral lists this ribosomal RNA (266 nucleotides) under uncultured bacterium. Its description in RNAcentral is "partial 16S ribosomal RNA". It matches the Rfam family "Bacterial small subunit ribosomal RNA", at positions 793 to 1055 of the family's 1533-position model. The record is from RNAcentral.
GUCCUAGCUGUAAACGGUGCACGUUUGCUGUAAAAGGAAUCGACCCCUUUUGUGGCGAAGCUAACGCGUUAAACGUGCCGCCUGGGGAGUACGGUCGCAAGAUUAAAACUCAAAGAAAUUGACGGGGCCUGCACAAGCGGUGGAGUAUGUGGCUCAAUUCGAUGCAACGCGAAGAACCUUACCUGGCCUUGACAUGUAUCUAGUAGAAGGGUGAAAGCCUGACGAGGUAGCAAUACCAGGAUACACAGGUGCUGCAUGGCUGUCGU